Molecule: ribosomal RNA, 446 nt
Filed under: uncultured bacterium
Lineage: Bacteria
Description: partial 16S ribosomal RNA
Rfam family: Bacterial small subunit ribosomal RNA
Source: RNAcentral
AGCCAGACUCCUACGGGAGGCAGCAGUGGGGAAUAUUGCACAAUGGGGGAAACCCUGAUGCAGCGACGCCGCGUGAGCGAUGAAGUAUUUCGGUAUGUAAAGCUCUAUCAGCAGGGAAGAAAAUGACGGUACCUGGCUAAGAAGCCCCGGCUAACUACGUGCCAGCAGCCGCGGUAAUACGUAGGGAGCAAGCGUUAUCCGGAAUUAUUGGGUGUAAAGGGUGCGUAGACGGGAUAACAAGUUGGUUGUGAAACCCCUCGGCUCAACUGAGGAACUGCAACCAAAACUAUUAUUCUUGAGUGCAGGAGAGGAAAGUGGAAUUCCUAGUGUAGCGGUGAAAUGCGUAGAUAUUAGGAGGAACACCAGUGGCGAAGGCGGCCUGCUGGACGAUGACUGACGCUGAGGCUCGAAAGCGUGGGGAGCAAACAGGAUUAGAUACCCGAGUA